RNAcentral lists this ribosomal RNA (476 nucleotides) under uncultured Planctomycetales bacterium. Its description in RNAcentral is "bacterial SSU rRNA". It matches the Rfam family "Bacterial small subunit ribosomal RNA", at positions 365 to 831 of the family's 1533-position model. Lineage: Bacteria; Pseudomonadati; Planctomycetota; Planctomycetia; Planctomycetales. The record is from RNAcentral.
UUCGCAAUGCCCGAAAGGGUGACGAAGCGACGUCGCGUGGGUGAUGAAGGCCUUUGGGUUGUAAAGCCCUGUCAGGAGUUAAGAAAUGUAAGUGCGCUAAUAUCGCAUUUAUUUGACGAAGGCUCCAAAGGAAGUCACGGCUAACUCUGUGCCAGCAGCCGCGGUAAUACAGAGGUGGCAAGCGUUGUUCGGAAUUAUUGGGCGUAAAGAGCACGUAGGUGGGUUUGUAAGUCAGAUGUGAAAGCCUCCUGUUCAACGGGAGGAUUGCAUCUGAAACUACAGAUCUUGAGUGUAGGAGGGGAGAAUGGAACUUCUGGUGGAGCGGUGAAAUGCGUAGAUAUCAGAAGGAACGCCGGCGGCGAAAGCGAUUCUCUGGCCUAUUACUGACACUCAGUGUGCGAAAGCUAGGGGAGCAAACGGGAUUAGAUACCCCGGUAGUCCUAGCCGUAAACGAUGGGCACUAAGUAGAGGGGUUU